AUGGAAGGCCACGGCCAUUUUGGAUCAAAGAAAAGCGCUGAGGUAGAUGAGCUCUCAGAAUGUGAUUUUGGGCUGCCGAAAUACAAGUUUGAUGCCCAGUUUAAUGGGGUGGAGCAGAAUGCUGAGAAGUGCGGCCAUGUAAUAAGUCCAGCUCGUCGUGUGGCAACAGAAGGGAACAAUAGAAGAUUUUUGGGAUGCCCAUAUGAGUGGAUUGAUCCAGAAUGGAAGGGAAGGGAAAAGAUUGUAAUUUUUUAUCUGGCUCGGAAGAACAAGGAGUUGGAGAAUCAAGUUGAGGAGAGGGAAGCAGAGAAGCAGUCCAUGAGGGCGAAGCACAAGGUGGAAAAGAAGAUGCUAGCAAGGAUUCACAGGGAGCGACAAGAAUUGGGAUGA
This 390-nucleotide ribosomal RNA is filed under the name Triticum aestivum (bread wheat). RNAcentral describes it as "partial small subunit ribosomal RNA". Lineage: Eukaryota; Viridiplantae; Streptophyta; Magnoliopsida; Poales; Poaceae. The record is from RNAcentral.